Molecule: ribosomal RNA, 969 nt
Filed under: uncultured bacterium
Lineage: Bacteria
Description: bacterial SSU rRNA
Rfam family: Bacterial small subunit ribosomal RNA
Source: RNAcentral
AGAGUUUGAUCAUGGCUCAGAUUGAACGCUGGCGGCAGGCCUAACACAUGCAAGUCGAGCGGUAACAGAUCCAGCUUGCUGGAUGCUGACGAGCGGCGGACGGGUGAGUAAUGCAUAGGAAUCUGCCCGGUAGUGGGGGAUAACCUGGGGAAACCCAGGCUAAUACCGCAUACGUCCUACGGGAGAAAGGGGGCUUCGGCUCCCGCUAUCGGAUGAGCCUAUGUCGGAUUAGCUGGUUGGUGAGGUAACGGCUCACCAAGGCCACGAUCCGUAGCUGGUCUGAGAGGAUGAUCAGCCACAUCGGGACUGAGACACGGCCCGAACUCCUACGGGAGGCAGCAGUGGGGAAUAUUGGACAAUGGGCGCAAGCCUGAUCUAGCCAUGCCGCGUGUGUGAUGAAGGUCUUAGGAUCGUAAAGCACUUUCGCCAGGGAUGAUAAUGACAGUACCUGGUAAAGAAACCCCGGCUAACUCCGUGCCAGCAGCCGCGGUAAUACGGAGGGGGUUAGCGUUGUUCGGAAUUACUGGGCGUAAAGCGUACGUAGGCGGAUCAGAAAGUAAGGGGUGAAAUCCCCGGGCUCAACCUGGGAAUGGCAUUUGAGACUGGCAGGCUAGAGUAUGGUAGAGGUGAGUGGAAUUUCAGGUGUAGCGGUGAAAUGCGUAGAGAUCUGAAGGAACAUCAGUGGCGAAGGCGACUCACUGGGCCAUUACUGACGCUGAGGUGCGAAAGCGUGGGUAGCAAACAGGAUUAGAUACCCUGGUAGUCCACGCCCUAAACGAUGUCAACUAGGUGUAUGGAGAAUUUAUUCUUUGUGUAUCGAAGCUAACGCGAUAAGUUGACCGCCUGGGGAGUACGGUCGCAAGACUAAAACUCAAAUGAAUUGACGGGGGCCCGCACAAGCGGUGGAGCAUGUGGUUUAAUUCGAUGCAACGCGAAGAACCCUUACCUGGGCCUUGACAUGUACGGAAA